Molecule: non-coding RNA, 696 nt
Organism: Leptonychotes weddellii (Weddell seal)
Lineage: Eukaryota; Metazoa; Chordata; Mammalia; Carnivora; Phocidae
Source: RefSeq, a predicted model, not a curated record
UCAGGAGGAACUAUUGAGCUCGCUGCCUGGAAGCCACCGCACACAUCCAGGCCUGCCACACACAGGUUGGGCUGCUGAGCUGGCAUAGAGAGUUUCAGAUAUUUAUUAAUGAUUUCGUGUAUUUAGAGGGGAACGAUUUCCUGGAUAAGUGGAAAAUUGUGCAGGUGGCUUCUGGAAGACCUUCAUUUUAAGCAGCUUUAUAGUGAAACAUUUCAUUUAGAAGUCUGGACCUUCUUCAGUUUGCUGCAAUCUCCGUUCACUGAGUAGAACUUGUAUUGAUUCUUGGGACCCAGUUUGUUCCCGGGUUCUGGAUUGAACGAAUACCAGGCGCAAGACACACAGCGCUGCUCCAGUACCUUUGGCUCCAUGACAUAGGAAGAGGAGCAUCAAGCUUGGCUGCUUCUUGGAACGUCUCGGAAGAUCUGGCAGAACGUGGUGGCGGCAGAAGCCUAGAGUCUAGAAGGAGGGAACAGAUCUGCAAGGAAGAGAUUCCGCUAAGAGAACAGAUCUUCAGCCUUCUUUCUGCACACAGAAAAGGUAACUGUGAGUUGAGGGAUGUGUUAAAAUUACCUUAAUUGUGGUCAUUUCACAAUGUGUACGUAUAUCAAAUUGUAUUGUGCACUUUAAGUAUAUACAGUUUCAUUUGUCAAUUAAAAAUAAAGCUGGGAAAAAAUUACAAAUAAACUGUCAAGUAGA